UUGAAAGGGAAACGAUUGAAGUCAGUCAUACCAACGGGAAAUCAACCUUUUGAGCUUGGUCUCGUGGGUUUUGAAGAGUUUCAAAGCCUUCGGAUUCGCGAGAUUGGGAUCUCUUGGUGUACUUUUUCGUACGGUUAGUCAACAUCGGUUUUGAAUGUCAUAAAAUGACUGGAGGAAUGUAGCUUCGAUCUCGUAUUGAAGUGUUAUAGCCUUUGGUAGAUGUGAUGUUUGAGACCGAGGAUUGCAACGGAUACCCUUCAGGGCUAUUCGUCUGAUCUCUGAUACGUUGCCUUGAUGUUGAAAGCUUGCUUAUGAUGUUAGGGUAUUACGGUCAAAAGGUUAGAACGAAUUACAUUCGUUAAGGAUGUUGACGUA
Molecule: ribosomal RNA, 375 nt
Filed under: Funneliformis mosseae
Lineage: Eukaryota; Fungi; Glomeromycota; Glomeromycetes; Glomerales; Glomeraceae
Also listed under: 2 other names
Description: eukaryotic LSU rRNA
Source: RNAcentral